AGGGAGCUGGGGCAGCCUGCUGUGCGGAGCUGGGGGAGGAGGAGGGAGCCCUGGGGGACAGACAGAAGGACCAUCGAAGGAGAAACCCUGCUGGCCUCGGGACCUGGAGGAAAGAACCAGGGCCCGUGCUCCUUGGGCCAGGAUCCGGCGAUUGGACGGAACCUCUCGGAUUCCCCAGUGCUGUGAAAUCCACUUGGGGCCAUCACACCCUUCAUUGCUGUGCUCCCUGGCAGAACUCGAAUGCAGCGUGAGCUGGGCACUUUUCCCAGGGUUUGCUCUAGGUCUGGGUCUCCCAUCAGCUCCCCCGGAGCAGAGCCUGAGGCAAGGAUUCUUGUUCGGGGGCAUCUUCCUCUCAGCACCGUGCUUUGGGAAUCGAGUGAUGGUGCUGAGUGAACCCCUGAGUGAACAUCUGUGGCUUCCUCCCACCUCGUCUCUGGAUGCACUCCUGUUCGAAUGGGUGUCUGUACAUGCUUGUCCCCUCCCCACGGUGGCGUGCUCAAUGGUGGCUCCCCACAGAUAUGUCCGUGUCCUAAUUCCCGGAGCCUUUGGGUCUCAUGUAGCCAAUGAUGUGAAAAAGUGAAGGAUGCUGAGAGGAGAUCAUCCAGAACUACUGCCCUGGCCCCUCAGCUUGUGGGAGGCGACGGUGAAGGUCAGGAGCAACGUCCUCUGUAACCAGACCUGUCGCCGCCGCUUUCCUUCCAACCACACUGAGCGGUUUGAGCGGCUCAUCAAGGACGACAUGCUGUGUGCCGGGGACGGGAACCACGGCUCCUGGCCAGGCGACAACGGGGGCCCCCUCCUGUGCAGGCGGAAUUGCACCUGGGUCCAGGUGGAGGUGGUGAGCUGGGGCAAACUCUGCGGCCUUCGCGGCUAUCCCGGCAUGUACACCCGCGUGACGAGCUACGUGUCCUGGAUCCGCCAGUACGUCCCGCCGUUCCCCAGACGCUAGCUGGGGUGCAGUGGGGUCUGCAUGAUCCAGGAGGGCCCGUCUUCCUUGUGGACACCCCUGCUGCUCCCCCGUCUCAGCCUCACCCUCCCGCAGAUCCCUGCCCCGAGACCCUUCUGCUCCUCUCGGUCUCUCAAGGCUCUGUGUUUCCCUGCCAGCAGGGGGCUCGGGGAGCCGGGUAGGGGCCCUCAAAGAUGAGUCGGGAGUGGAAACAGAAUCCCAGAAAUCCUAGACGGCUGCUUGUGACUUGACUCCAUUAAACAGUGUGGAAACCGC
Homo sapiens (human) is the source of this 1222-nucleotide long non-coding RNA. The record is from Ensembl. Lineage: Eukaryota; Metazoa; Chordata; Mammalia; Primates; Hominidae.